Mastomys coucha (southern multimammate mouse) is the source of this 2990-nucleotide long non-coding RNA. RefSeq lists it as uncharacterized. The transcript is spliced from 3 exons. The record is from RefSeq and is a predicted model, not a curated record. Lineage: Eukaryota; Metazoa; Chordata; Mammalia; Rodentia; Muridae.
GCCAAACACCAGCCAGAAGUAAGCUUAUAUCUGUAUUCUGGUUUCUGGUGGGAACCUGUCUGGGACCCAAGAGAGGAAAAAGUGGGCAUAGGGUCAGAAAUGGACCUGAGACAUCCUGCUCCACACUGGUUCCCAUUGGGAAAAAAAAUGGGCCAUACAUCAUCUGCUGACUUAGUCUUAACCCAUCUCAAGGAUUUUCAGAAAAAGAGGCUGAAUCGGGACAACACAAACUGGUUAAACUGAUACUGCUUUUGGAGCCCCGCACCCGCAGCUAGGAGCUGAGCGCUGCAGGCAUAGUCCCACCUUCUUUCCCUGGAUCAAGCUGACAGCGAAACUGGGGGUGGUGUGUGUGGGUGGUUGACAUCUGUACAAGCUGCUCUGAAAGCGGCACCAGCAGCUGCUCAGCUUUCUACGGUCAGGAACCCGGUGGCUACUCCUGCUACAGAACCACAGUGCCCAUGAGAAUUGGAUUCAGCAGGUAGCAAAGUGCUCUUCUUCUGAAAUUACAGCUGGGGGAAUAAGUGUACUAGCCAACACAUGAGAUUGUAUCAACACAUUGAACAAAUGCUUUGGGCCUCCUGACUCUGGAAAUGAUUGAGCAGAUUAUCGGGGGAAUAUUUCAAGUUGAUAUUCAUUACCCUUUGCUCCUUAGUCAUUUUAAAUGCAAUUGUGACUGGGAGUUAUGUGCAGAACGUACCUGAGCAGAUAACGCCUGCAUCUUCCUUGUGCCUGCAGUUAUGACGUCCCCAGCCAUGUGAAUGGCACUGCCAAAUAUGAGACUCUUUCCCAGUGCAGAUGACUUCGUCUAGCCAGAUAGCCCCUGUUCCUUCCCCGAAGUAAGCAGAACCAGUGGCGUUAAUAGCCACACCACAGUCCAGCUGCUUGCACACCACACUGGCAUCAGUCAGAUCCCAGUUGUCAUCACAGAUGGUGCCCCAAGAGCCCUCGUGGUAGACCUCCACUCUCCCAGCACAGCGACCACCUCCACCUACCAAGCGAAGUUGGCCACUUGCUGGGAAGAGAAAUGAAGAUAAGGAUAAAGUGCAUGCCAGAAAGGUUUGAGAUCAUUUUCAGAGAUUGAUCACAGAUUCUCACCUAUGCAGGGAAUGUCACUCUCCUUUGGAAUGGUAGAGCUUGUUGUUUGAACCGGAGACAAUGAACUACACGGCAACAGUGUCUGGGAUUGGUUUCCUGAAAACACCCAAAGUUUCAAGAGUAUUAGAUACUAAGGAUGAGGAAUUAGGACUGGAUGGAGAGUUCUGUAGGUGAGGUGAGGACAGACAUAGCUUGAGAAAGAAGAAGGAGGAGGAUGGAGGGGUGAGAAAGGGGUGUGGGAUAGGUGGACCACCUGGAAGUGAGCAGGUGCUUUGAGAAAACACAGACUACAGCAGUUCUCAACCUGUGGGCUGCGACCUCCAGGGAGGAGAAUAGCAUUUUCACAGGAGGUAGAAUAUCAGACAUCCUGCACAUCAUAUAUUUACGAGACAAUUCAUAACUGUAGCGAAAUUACAGUUCUGAAUUAGUAAUAAGAAUAAUUUAAUGGUUGAAGGGUGGUCACCACAGCAUGAGGAACUGUACUAAAGGGUCAUAGUAUUAGGAAGAUUGAGAACCACUGCAGUAAGAACUAGACAGCAAUAAGAUGGGUGAAAAUUAAGUUUACAUACUCUCUAAUAAGACAAAUGAAGUUACUAUUCUAGCACAGGUCUCAUGAAUCUCCCAGACAGACUGUUUCGUUUUCUUUUGCUUCAUCCCUGACUCAGGCCCAUCUCAUUGUAAAGCACACCCCUGUGGAGAGGCUCAUUACUGGCUCUGCCCUUCAUCCUCUCACCUGAGCAUAUUACAGAGGCCACCUGUCCUUUGGAACAUGUCGGUGCACCCAGAGCCGUCAUGGGGCAAUCCCCUAUAUGCUGCUCAGUUCCAGUGCAGUGGAACAUGUGCCUCCAGACCUGACCAGCUCCUUUCCCAAAAUGUGCUCCUCCUGGAAUAGAAUGGGCAACUCCACACUUGAGCUGCUGACAUAAGACAUGAGCAUCUUCCAUGUCCCAAUGAUUGCCGCAGAGGGGACCCCAGGCUCCGAGCGUGUUGAGCUCCACUCUUCCCUCACAGGAGGACUUGCCAUCUGCCAGACGGAUAUCUAUGUAUCCUGAAAGGAGACCGGGAUUUAGAAAAGACGCCCGCGUCCCCCUAAUCCUUUCUCCCUUUCACCGCCUAGGAGCAAGUUGAAGAUAUUUUCUUUGUCUUACGUGAGCAGACUAUGCUGACAUCCCUGCUGUGGCUACAAGUUCUGUCUAGUGGGGGCGCCACUGAGCACAGCGAAAGGUGGGACUCAUCCCCACUACACUGGAAUUCUUCACCCCAGAUCUGUCCACUUCCUUCUCCAAAAUGUGCUCCCCCUAGGAUAGAGACGACUGUUCCACAUUGUAAUUCCCUGCACACCACGCUGGCAGCUUCCAGAGACAAGUCAAAAUCACAGAUGGAGCCCCACACGUCUCCGUGUUUCACUUCCACACGACCGGAGCAUGGGACUUCUCCUCCAACCAGUCUGGGUUCCCUGUGGCCUGAAAAAAAUAAUAUUUCUGUGAGAGGUACAAUUUCCACAUUUUCACUCAUGGUGGGACUAGGAGCCAGGGUUCUCUGCAGUUUCACCCUGCACCUCCUGGGUUUUCUCUCUAGACUGAGCAUAGCAAAUUGUGACUCAAAGAUUUUUUUCAUUGGGCCUGUCCUUCUAAGAAAAUUCUAGAGCUUUGGAUUUUGAAGAAAAGCAAGACCAGAACGUCUCUUUUCUUCUAGUACUUCAUUUGCAUUUAUUCAUACAACACAGUGUGUUCACUGUUUGUGCUCUGUCAGCCAGUCCAGCACUUGCUGCAGUCUGAAGUCUACAGCCGCUUUAUCAACAUCUGCAUAUAGGGUUUCAACAUAUUUUUGUUUGGAGCAUGGAGAGGUUGUGGAGAAAGAGGAACAUUAUUUCAUUGCUGGUGGGAUUGCAAACU